Andrographis paniculata is the source of this 1332-nucleotide long non-coding RNA. RefSeq lists it as uncharacterized. The record is from RefSeq and is a predicted model, not a curated record. Lineage: Eukaryota; Viridiplantae; Streptophyta; Magnoliopsida; Lamiales; Acanthaceae. The transcript has 2 exons.
CCUAAUUGUUACCAACAACACAAAUGCCGUUCUGAAUGUCUUCCCUAUAAAUACAACUGAAACCGCCGAGAUGACCAACAGCAGCAAGUUGCUUGGCGAUGGAGAUGAAAUUUGAGAUUUAUUUAUUAUUUGUUUAUUUGAAUGCCUCGUUAGCUUAUCUGAUGUAUAUGCGCAUAGUUGCUGCGUGUAUGCGCGCCGCAGAGGUAGAGCGAGGGGCAGGAGAGUUGAGUCGCUUCGCCUUAGUAUUGAACCGGGCGAAGUGAAUAAUAUUCCUGCCACAUCCAUCAUACUCUUCAUCCUCUCGUUGUGUGUUUGUGUGUGUGUGUCAUGAUAUUGCCAUGGAAUUGGAAUGCAGAGUCUAUAGAUGUAAUAUUUGAUGAGACCUGAUUGUUCAAUUUGAUGCAACAAAACACGCAGAGGAUGUCCUCCUCCUCAACUCUGACUCUAAUUUUUUGUUUGAUAAAGGGUGCAGUAUCAGAUUGAUGAACUAGGGGUAGGGGUAGGGGUAGGGGUAGCACUGGUAGAGAAUGCAAGCAACCUAAAAAGCCGAGGGUAAGUAUAUAUGUAGGUGCGCUUGGUUUUUAUUUUGUUUUUGUAUGUUAGUUUGUAUCGGUUUUGUGCAUAUGUUUGUUUGUGUAAUUGGAAAUGAGAAUGUGUAUGACAGACAGACAGACAGACAGACAUGAAUGAAACUCAACAAACAGGGCAUGUUAUCAAGAUCCACCACCAAGAUAGUGAUUCUACUCCAUUCCCACUCCUUCGAUUAUGACUUGGGUUGGCGUUUGGUGGUUUUGGGAUAUGGUAAGUGAGGAUUGAAUGAGUUGGAGUUGGAGGGAGCAGGCAGGUAGGUAGGUUUCGUGCAUGGUGCUUUGGUUCGUUUCGUUUAUCUGUUGAUGGUUGGUUGGUGAUUGAAUCUCCAUCCCCCAUGGAUUUACUCUGUGGAACCCAACCAACCAAUCUGUUGUUGAGAAUUAGUGAUCUAUUUCAUUUUUUAAUUGAGUUGGAACCUGAGGAUGGAUGGACGGGCGGGCGGACGGACGGACGGAGUUGGAAGAGAGAAAAGAGACCUUGAGAAGAGAAGAGAAGAGGGCGGUUGACCUUGCUUUGGGCUUCCCAUCCCAUUGUUCUUGCUGCUGCUGCUAAUGCUAUUCAAGUCAAAUUUAUUAAAGGAUUGUUUGAUUAGGACUGUAUAUUUCCUAAUUUUUACAAUAUAAUUUUAUUUUCAGAAAAUAAUAAUAAUAAUAAUAAUAAUAAUAAAGGGCACUCUUCAUUUCUUUGACUAGCUCAAGUCGAAAUGACUUGAGUAGGUUUAGUUUUCAUAUUCUUGUACAA